UGACAUGAACAUACAUAACAUGGGUCGACAAGGAUGUCAUGAAGAUAUAUAUAAGGUACGAGCUUCCAUGCUGCUAUGACAGACUAUACAACAAAAAUCAGCCGACAAGGCAGUCCAAACUAUACAUGAGUCAACACCUGUCUAUGAGCCUCUAAAGGAAAAUAAAUGCUAUAACAUUGCUGGAAUAGGGCCCCGACAUACCCAUAAUGUCUAUAACAAAAGUUCAUACCAAGACUAUGGCAAGUCUGGAUUAGGGAUCUCGCUAAUAACCGCUGAAUUGGGCAGCCUACUGUGGUGGGGGAGCUUUGCCUACCUGUCUAUCAGGACCUGCAGCACGAUAUGUAGUAUCCACAAAUAAAAGGGAUGCCAGUACGAAUAAAGUACUGAGUAUUUAAGGCAGGAAGGCGUAAAUAAGAACAGUAAUGUAAAUAGGGAUAGAAAAUAUACAGCCUGUAACAUAUGAGUACCUCUGAGGGCUAUUGACAUGCAUGAUACAUAUAUAUAUACAUAAACUUUUUAAAAUGUAUGCCUCUGUAGGCAUCAUCAUCGUAUCGUACCCGGCCAUAAUUGGCUUAGUAAAAACAUACCCGGCCAUUAUAAGGCUCGGUAAAAUCGUACCCGGUCAUGUGGAGCUCGAUAAAACCUAAUUGAUCAGUGGUUGCAUAAUAGGUAUCGUACCUAUCCGACUAUAUCGUGGCUCAGUAGAGUAAAAUAGGUACAUAUAUAGUGCAUACUAGACUCAUUGGAAUCACAUUCUGAACCUUUCGGAGUGAUGUAAGGUCAGUAACCUUCGUACACGUUAUUAGGACUAACUCUUCAUCAUGGAUCUUAUAAGAAUCAAGAAGUACCAACAACAUUGAUAACAUAAGAAUAAGAGAAGCAACAUCAACAUCAAUCGUUCCAUAAGAAGGGAAACAAUGUAAGUACUGCUAGUUUCUAAGAGUGAAGUAUCUUUAAAAGCUCGUUCAUUACAUUUUGUACAAUCGGAGUCAUUCAAAAGAAGAAGGAAAGGGAUAGCCUCACAUACCUUGUAUAUAUUACCCAACCUCAAGCUAUGCAAAUGUCACGACUCCCUAAUCUACAACAAGAGAAAUGACAAUGUCGUUAUCAUUUAAGCAUCGUAACUAUUACAUAUCGACCGCAACCUAUUUUACGAUGAACCAUACAAUACCUCCCCUAAUUAUAUGACUUCCCACGAGUUAAAACAAUCACGAAACAGCCCAAAAAACAUCAAUAAUAAUCAUAUUAAGCCUCCCAACAUAGUCCACCAACCAACAACAUACUAACAAGUCUUUCGAUAGAUAACUCACAAGUUUUAGCUUCAACGACUUAGCCUCAACAUGGAUAAUCUUAAAUACAUGUAGAGUAAGAGGUUACUUACCUUUAAAUGGAUAGAUAAAAUCCAAUUUGACCUUAAUUCACCACGAAAUAUCCUUCCAAUGCUGCCACAAGAACAAGGAAGCGAAACUAGGGUUUUCCGGCACUAGAAUCACUUUGGAAAACUUGAAAUCACCUAGGGUUGAUAUUAAAAACUUGAGGGAGUAUUUUACAGAACAUAAACCACUUAAAAAAACCUCCCAAGUGAGCUGGAACCACACAAAAAUCAGCAACAAGAAGAACAAGAAACUUACUAGCACCACGGGAUUUCGGACACUUGAUUUGUGUUGUUUGCCCUUUGUUUGGGUCUUGGAUCAUGAGAGAACCUUGAGAGAGUGUUUUUAGGUGUCUAGGGUCUGAUGAUAAUGAAAAGUAAAGAGUUAAAAGGGGGUUAAGGCAUCUCAUAUAUAUCAAUAUAUCUCAACCGCCUAUAUGGGCCCCAUAGAGAGCUACUUGUGAAGUCUCGCAAAAACGCGAAUAUCUCUCUACUCCGACAUCGUAUCGACGAAUGGUUUAAUGAGUUGAAAACUAGAAUCAUAGAUAUUCAACUUGGUGGGUAUAUCACCCCAUCAUUGCAAGAAAAUUUAGUAACAUUUGACCUAAAGUAUAAGUAAAAUUAUGUACGUAAGUUGCGACAACUUCUGUCGACUUUUGUUUCAUAACUCGUUUGACUUCAAAACAUAUGAUACGGAUAUUAUAUGAUUCAAAUACCUUAAAAACGACCUCUUGAGAAUAUUAAGAACCUCUAGUUUUACCCAAAAAUAUGGGUUACAACAUCCUUGAUUUGUUUAACUUCUAAUACUUGUUAACCACUCUUAUACACUCUUGUAUCAUUUAAGGCCAAUAUGAUUAACUUCUUAUCAUCUCAAAGAUAAUCGCUUUUCGUAUUUAUGUCGACUAACUUACGGUGUGAUCUAACAUACAUGAAUAUGGGUUGUAACAGUAUAGAUAUGAUAAAGAGAUUACAAGAUUUCUUAGCCAUGAAGCUCUUUCCAAAACUUGAGCUAUAAGGAGAAAGGCGGACUUCAAAGUCUUAUCUAUGUCAUAAGGAUCGUGUUUAUGUGUUCACUUCUUGAUUUUGAGUUGCGGAUGAUGGACUUGCUUCAAAACCCUAAGGAACAUCUUGGAGAGCUAUGGAAGCUCUACUUGGGCGUGAAUUUUUUGCAAAUAGAGGAAAAAGAAGGCUAAGUCUUCUAUUUAUAGUAAGGUUGAAAAGUCAACCACAUGUGCUUCACCGGCCCUUCUUCCGAUGCCCAUAUCUCUUUAUCCAGACGUCGUAUAAAUGAGCGGUCGAGAGAGUUGGAAACUAACUUACAUGACCUUAAAUUUGGUAUAUAAUAUGUCCCCGAAAUAACUCAUAUAACACACAAAAUUAAUUGCUCAAAAAACUUUGUUACAAGGCAAAUCCUUAAUCGAUUCUUCCGCAACUUAAAUCUGAUUUUUUCCAAACUUUAUAUUCUAUAUUCAAACAUCAUAUAUAGUAAUAUUAUAACUUUAAAAUCAUUUAAAUCAUGCUUAAAAAUUCAUUUACACAAUAUACGACAUCACAUAUGUAUGGGGUGUGACAAUCUCCCAAUCUUAAGAACAUUCGUCCUUGAAUAUUGACUGAGGUAUACAAAAGCAUUAAGCAAUGAUCCAUUACAUACAUGGAGUAGUGAAGAGGUGUGGAUAUAUGGCUCUCAUAUCCUUCUUAGCUUCCCAAGUCAUCUCUUCCACAUUAUUGCUUCGUCCUCAACCGACGAACCUGCUGAUCUAAAAUGGCAACUAGUACCUCCUCAUAAGUUAAUUGCUUGGUGAUCUGUACAUCAUCAACUAGUACUACUCUAGAAGGAUCUCCAAUACACGUCCGAAGCAUGGAGACAUAAAACACUAGAUGUACCUCUUGAAGGUCUGCUGGAAGGUCCAACUCGUAUGUUACACGACCAGCUCGUGUGAUGAUCAGGUAUGGACAUAUAUACCUAGGGCUAAGCUUUCCCUUUUUUCAGAACCUUAUAACACCUUUCAUAGGUGACACCUUCAGGAACACCUAAUCAUCAACUUGGACUUCUAGAUCUCAGUAUCGAUUGUCUGCAUAUGAAUUCUGUCAACUUUGGGUUGCUAGCAAUCUCUCCCUAAUCAGCUUAACCUUAUCCACUUCUUGUUGGAUCAUAUAUGGGCCUAUAAGUUGAUACUCACAAACUUCAAACCAUCCUAUGGGUGAUUUGCACUUACGCCCAUACAAAGCUUCAUAAGGUGUCAUUUUUAUGAUGGAAUGAUAACUAUUGUGGUAUGCAAACUCUAUCAACGGUAAGUGUUCAUCCCAGCUACCUUUGAAAUCUAACAUACAUGCCCUUAACAUGACCUCGAGCAUCCAUAUGAUUCGCUUGACCUGUCCAUCUAUCUAGGGAUGAAAAGUUGUACUCAAAUUCAAUUGCUAGAAGUUAGCUGUAAACUGUGCGCCUCUACCUGAAAUGAUAGAUAUUGGAACGCUUUGGAGAUGUACAAUCUCCCUGAUAUAAAAUCAGGCUUAAUCUUCUAUUGUAUAGGUAGUGCUAACAAGCAAGAAAUAAGUUGAUUUAGUAAGCCUGAUGACUAUAACCCAAAUAGAAUCAUACCUGCUCCUCGUACGUGGCAGUCAUGUAAUAAAGUCCAUAUUUACUACUUCUCACUUCCAUGUUGGGAUCUUUAUCUCUUGUAACAAAUCGCUAGGCUUCUGGUGCUCAAACUUAGCAUGCUGGCAGCUAGGACACUAGGCCACAAACUCUACUAUGUCACAUUUCAUUCCACCCCACCAAUAAAUCUGCUUAAGAUCAUGGUACAUCUUAGUAGAGCCUGGAUGAAUUGUGUACCUGGAAUGAUGUUCCUCUACCAUAAUUUUCAUGCGUAACCCUGCAGCGUCUGGAACAAAGAGCCUAUCUUUAUAUCUGAGGACUCUUUUACUAGUAACUAUGUAAGGAGACUUUUUAUUUUUCCUGGCUACCAUACUGUACUUAAUUAGAACUGGAUCUUCAUAUUACCUCUAUUUCACUUCGGUCACUAAACAAGUGGUAGUCGUAUUCUGAACUAUAACUUUUGCAUCCUCUAAAUCUAUCAAUUUAAUACCCAAACUGGCUAACUGAUGGAGUUUAUGAGCUAACUCCCUUUUUUUAGGCUGAAAGCAAGCUAAACUCCCCAUGGACUUAUGACUGAGAGCAUCAACUACAACACUAACUUUACCUGGAUGAUAAAGAAUGUCAACGUCGCAGUCCUUUAGAAGCUCUAACCACUUUCUUUGCUGCAAGUUCAACUCCUUCUAUUUAAUUAUGUACUGGAGGCUCUUAUGAUAUGUAUAGAUAUCAACAUUAAUGCCAUAGAGAGAGUGCCUUCAAAUCUUCAGUGCUUGAAUAAUCGCUGCUAGCUCCAAGUUAUGUGUAGGAUAAUUCUGUUGUGCUUCUUCAAUUGUCUAGAAGCAUAAGGAAUUACCUUUUUGUGAUGUAUCAGCACAUAACCUAGGCCAAUUCGAGAAGCGUCACAAUAAAUAACAUAACCCUCAGAUCCCUCUAGAAGUGUAAGAACCGGAGUUGUAAUCAACCUGUUCUUCAACUCCUGCAAACUCUUCUCACAUUCAUCUAACCACUGAAAUUUGGAUGCUUUCUGUGUUAAUCUAGUCAAUGGCGCUGCAAGGGAAGAAAAGCCUUCUACGAACCUCUUGUAAUACCCUGCUAAACCCAAAAAGCUACGUACUUCGAUUGGCGUUAUAGGUCUAGGCCAAUUCUUCAUUGUCUCUAUCUUCUGACCAUCUACUUUGAUGCCCUCUGAUGAUAUAUAUGUCCAAGAAAUGCUACCGAAUUCAACUAGAAUUUGCACUUCAAGAAUUUGGCAUACAAUUUCUUGUCUCGGAGGAUACCCAACAUUAUGCGCAGAUGCUUCAGACUUGGAAUAAACCAGAAUAUCAUCAAUAAACACUAUCACUAAUAGGUCCAGAUAAGGCCUAAACAUGUUGUUCAUAAGAUCCAUAAAUACCGCUAGGACAUUAGUCAACCCAAACGACAUUACUAGAAACUCGUAAUAGCCAUAUUGGGUUCUGAAUGAUGUCUUAGGUAUCUCACAUUCUCUGACUCUAACCUAAUGGUAGCCUGAUCUCAAGUCUAUCUUCGAGAAGAACUUAGCACCCUGAAGGUAGUUGAACAAGUCAUCAAUUCUGGGAAGAGGACAUUUGUUCUUGAUCAUGACCUUGUUUAGUUGUUUGUAAUCUAUGCACAUACGUAGGGAGCCAUCUUUUUUUCGCAAAUAAUAUUGAUGCUCACCAAGGAGAAGUAUUGGGUCUAAUAAAACCCAUAUCAAACAAAUCUUUCAACUGCUCCUUAAGUUCCUUUAAUUCUGUUGGUGUCAUCCUGUAAGGAGGAAUAGAUAUUGGUUGCUUACCCGACACUAUAUCGAUGGGAAAGUCAAUUUCCCACUAUGGAUAAAGACCUGGAAGAUUAUACGGAAAUACGUUAGGGAACUCAUUCACUAGUGGAACUGAUUCAAGAGUCAGUAUUCCCUUCUCUAUGUCUCAAACAUGAACCCAUGAUAUAAGCAUCCCUUAGCGAUCAUCCCUCUUGCCUUAAGGUACAAAAUAAAUCUACCUUUUAGUGAUGCAGAAACACCAUUCUAUAAAUGACCCUUCUAGGAAAUCUAAACGAGACCGUCUUCGCUCUACAGUCAACAUUAGCAUAGCAAGAAGACAACCAAUCCAUACCAAGUAUAACAUCAAAGUCAACUAUUUCUAACUUAAUAAAGUCAGCUAUAGUACUAGGGUCACCAAUCACAACCGUGAAACCUCUAAAAACUAGCCUAGCUACUAUUGAAUCACCAACUGGGGUGGCUACCUCAAAAGGUUUAAUGGCAUCUAGUUCUAUCCUAAACUUAGUAGCAAGAAAGGGAGUGACAUAUGAUAGUGUAGAACCAGGAUCUAACAAUACAUACACAUUCUGAGAAUUCACUUAUAAAGUACCUAUAACCACUCUAGUGAAGCCUCCUAGUCCUGACGACCAAACAGAGAGUAGGUGCGGUUCUGGGGACCGCCUGUAGUAAGAGUUCCGCCUCGGCCUCUACCAUGGUCUGCUAGUGUCUGAGGAACUUGCCCUUGCAAGCGUGCUGGUGCUGAAGAAGCUGCAACUAAUCUUGCCGACUGAGAUGCACCAUUACCACCCCUAAACGAGCAUUCUCUCAUAAAAUGACCUGACUCACCACAAACAUAACAUGCAUCUUAACCCAAUUGAAAUCGGUCCAAAUAGUGUCUACCACAAUCAAAACACCUAGGGUAAAGUGAACCACCCUGACUAGAAACACCUCGAUACUAGGACCUUGAAGCACGUGAUUCCUGACUAGCUCUAGACUAUGAGGGUCAAUUAGAUCUCGGCCCCUAAAAUCGUGAAGGAGUACUAGCUGCUGUCGACGUAACAACUAUAUUGUCUAGAAGCACCAGAUGUCUCACCAAAAGAAUACUUGCAAUGUCCACACUCGACUGAAUACGUCCAAUGUCCACACUCAAAUGCAUAGAUACAGUCAUAUAUUCACUUACUAAGUGAGGACCAAGUCUUGCUACACAUGUGUACCAUGUCCUCCAUGUCUGAUACAACUGCAAGAGCAAACCUCUCCAAAGAAUUAAAGCAAAGGUUCAAUUCUGCAAUACUCAUACCCCCUGUCUCAAUGUCAGGAACUUAUCCAAUCAUGCUCUACGUGUCUCUAUAGGUAAGUAAUGGUGGAGAAAUGCCUCUAAUAACUCCCUACAGGUAAUUGGAGCAGUAUUUGCUACCCUAGACAUCUCCCAGUGGUAUAUCAACCUGCUGCUAGAUCUUGUAAUCUAUAUGCCACCAAUUCAACUGACUUUCUAUAUAUGGCAUGCAUAACUCUAAGGGCUCUAACUACUCUAUCUAGAAAAUUUUGGGGAUCCUCUGUUGUACUAGAUCUCGUGAAAAUUGGAGGCUCUAAUAUGAGGAAAUCAAGAAUCAUAGAACUUGUAUCAUCACCCUGAGGACCAUUAUUCUACCAUCUGGACUGGGUAGCUACAAUUCUAGUUAACAAUCUAACUACAUCCCUCAUGUCGAAGUAGACGGAGGUGUGGUAGCUGGAGCACCACCUAACUUCUCCCUAAACAAACAUAGUCCAUGAAGCUCUGGAUGGAACCUCAUGUCUGGAUCCUUAUGCUCAUCUAACUUAGGUGGUACUCUGCUAGAACCCUGGCCAGCAAUGGUUUUGCCCUUCAAGGCAGUUGUGAAUCUCUUUGGAGGAAUCCCUACAUAUAAAAUAUUUCAUUAGAAGGCUGAAUUCUUAUAACAUAGCUCAAUCGCACAAUCUAGAGAAGAAGGAAGGACAACCAUUCUAUAAUGCCCUGCAGCCUCAUGUUCAUAAGUAUGGUGUGCAACUUACUCUUGAAUAAGACUCCACUAUACAUGGCUUGUAGACACCCAAGGACUGAACUGCUCUAAUACCAUGUUUGUCACGACCUACCUAGGGCCGCGAAGGAUAACCGACACUAAGUACUGAUCAUCACUAAACCUGCUAAUAAUCUACUAAUCAUGAAUUUAACUGAUAAACUAAACAAGCAUAAACAUAAUUGAUAAGAACAGUACAAUUUUGUAGCCAACAAGGCUAACACAAGCUGACAUAUAAAAACAUACUAACUGCACAGGUGCAUAUCUACAUGCCUCUAGGAGUGCUGAACUAAAUAAGUAUUGGACGGAACAAGGUCACUCCAUACCCAAACUAGUUGAAUGUACACAUACAAAGAGAUAACUUACUCCCGGAGUAAGCAGCGUGACUCCAAUAGCUGGUGGAUGUCCUACUGAUGUGGCUCAAGCGUUGAUUUAUCUGUACCUGCACGACAAGAAACGAAACACCUCAGAAGGGACGUGAGUACAAUAUGUACAAAGUAUGUAGGAUGGAAAGCAUACUAAAGUAUGAAUAUACGCUGGAAAUCUAAAUAUAAGCUGGAAGCUAAACAAGAGUCUGAACUAGCAACUAAUCUAGAACUAAACUGAAGUUUAAGUUGAAACUAUGCUGAAAUUGAACUACUAUCUGAACUGGUACCUGACUGGAGUUAUCCUCUAUAUCCCCCAAUAAGGUAACUGUACAUCUGAACUGGCCUCCGAUAUCGUCGUGCAAUACAAACUGUAACUAUAUACACGUAUAUAACAUGCCUGACUGGCGUUAUGCGCUAUAUCCCCUAGCAGAUAAAUAGGACUGGUUGGUGUUAUGGGCUAUCUCCCCCAGCAUAUAAUUAAUAGGCCUCACUGGCGUUAUGGUAUAUAUAUCCCCCCCCCCCCCAAUUAUAAUCAAUGUAAGCAUGUGUGAGGCAUAAAACAUGUGGCAACAUCAUAUAAAAUCAUGAGAUCACGAAGGAAAGCAUAAACAGAAUCACAAACGUAAUCUGACGCUCGUCAUCCAUAAGUUUGAUGGAGCCAAUACCUAUUUUAAAGACAAAAUGAGUAUGUACAUUGGAUACUAAGGCUAAUUAACUCAUUAGGAUCCCUCUAGAAUCAAUUUAGAACCAAGGAACUUAAUAUUUGUCCCACUCUUUGAAUUUCCAAAAUUUCGGCAGAGUUUUCCUAAAACUUGAUGAUCCUAAAAUAAAAAAAACACCACAAUAUACAAGGGAAUCAAUACCUGACUAAGAUGAUAACAUAAAACUAAAGGUGGUCAAAUUAUCCACAACAGUGUCAAAUGAUCAACAAAACAGAAUUAUGAAGGUAAUGUCGGCUCAUAAUGACUAACUUGUGACAUGAAAGUCUAAAUACGAUUUAGGACUAAUAUAAGCAUCAAUACAUGAUAAUUAAGUAUAAUAUUAAAUGAAUAUAUUUGGAUCAUAAGGGGGUUAGGUAUAUAUAAAAACAACAAAUGAACGGAACAAACGGAUGUUCGGAUGGCAUAGGCCAAAUGGGCGAUUCGCCCUUUUUUGUUGUGUUUUGAGGUUCCAACCUAAACUAGUUUCUUCGAUACUUCCCAUAUGAAAUUUAAUACUAUACAAGGAUACAAUACAUGAUUAAAUUUCCCUUUAAUAACUCUUAAAAGAUCAAUAAGAAAGGGUAAAACUUAGCUAAACCAAACCAUACUGAAAAUGAAGCGAAAACGCUACAUACCUCUUGUGUUCUCGCUUACAAACAUUGUUCCCUUUGAUCCACACCCUUCCUUAUGCUUGUAUAGAUAAAAUACAGAGGUUACCAUCUUUAUCAGCCACUAAGCUCUAUCCAAAACUUGAUUUAUAAUGAAAAAGGAGGACGGCAAAGUCUUACCAUGUCGUAAGGAUCAUGUUCGUUUCUUGAUUUUGAGUUGUGGAUGAUGGACUUGCUUCAAAACCCUAAGGAACAUAUUGGAGAGAUAUGUAAUCUCUUCUUAGGCAUGAAAUUUAUGCAAAAUGAGGAAAGAAGAAGACUGUGUCUUCUAUUUAUAGUAAGGUUGAAAAGUCAACCACAUGUGUGCUUACUGAUCCUUCUUCCGACGCCCAUAUUUCUCUAUCCAAACAUCGUAAAAAGAGAAGUCGAGAGUGUUAGAACCUAAAUUUCAUGAACUUAAAUUUGGUAUAUAAUAUGUCCCAAAAAUACCUAAUAUAACACACAAAAUUAAAAAAAGCUUCGUUACAAGGCAAAUCCUUAGUCGGUUUUUCCGCAACUUAAAUUUGAUUUUUCCUAAACUUUAUAUUUUAUAUUCAAACAUCAUACAUAGUCAUAUUAUGACUUUAAACUCAUUUAAAUCAUGCUUAUCAAGUCAUUUACAUAAUAUACAACAUCACAUAAGUACGGGUAUAAUAAUUUCUUUUCAUUAGUGAAGUUUAUUUUUGCAUAUUAUUUGUUGGCUUGUCUAGCAAGCGGUGUUAGGAUCCAUCAUAGUUUUUAUGGGAGUUUGGGUCGUGAUAAGUUGGUAUUAUAGCACUAGUUUGCAUAAGUCUCGCAAUUCAUGAGCAUGCCUAGUAGAGUCUUGUGGAUCGAUACGGACGUUUGUACUUAUCUUUGAGAGGCUAUAGGGCUUUAGGAAACUUACCCUUUAUUGAUUCCUUUCAUGCGAUUUUAUUUUGUCCUUAAGCCUAUAUAUUAAAUUCUUUCCUACCCAUUUUGUACUCAGUUCUGAGUACUCAAUAUCAUAUGGGCACCGACGAGCUUUGAUGAUGAUACAAACAUGAUGAGGGAUUUUUUCUCUUGUGUGGGAGGUUAGAAUAUUAUUGUCGCUUUGCAGAUGAGUUAUUAGAGCCCAAGUGUCACACCUCCUUUUUCCUAUCCCCGAGGGAGAUAUAAGGGAGUUUUUUCAAUUUAAGUGACAAUCAAAACAGGAUUAUUUCAUUUAAAGAUUCAGAGUCACCACUUGGGAUAAUUUAUGGUGUCCCAAGUCACCGGUUUUAAUCCCGAAUCGAGGAAAGAUUGACUCUGUUUUACAGUCCGCGGACACAGAAAUCCGGGUAAGGAAUUCUGUUAACCCGGGAGAAGGUGUUAGGCAUUCUCGGGUUCCGUGGUUUUAGCACGGUCGCUCAACUGUUAUAUUGGCCUAAUUAUCUGAUUUUAAUACAUGUUUUAGCCUAUGGUAUAUUUUAACUUAUUAGCCGCUUUUAAUUAAUUUUAGGAAGAUUUAACGUUAUCUAAAACACAUCUUGAACCAUGCCACAUGAAAUGCACUCGCAGUCCACGACACAUUUUAUUUACGUUGUUCAGAAUUGGAGAUGGGUCACAUGAAAUGCACACCCGAGUUUAAGGAAAUUAAUUUAAAUUACGUGCCUAAAGCAACUAAGCACUUUCAAGUUUGCGAGGGCCAUGGAAAAUUCAACUAAAUAGCACACCUCGAUUCUAUUUGUCAAAGAAAUCUUGAUCUAAUUCUAACAGGGCCAUAAGUUAUGGACAAGAUAUUAUUGUGGAAAACACCCUUCAAUGGCAAGAACUAAUUUUUGGAGCAGCUAAAUUAAUUUCUUUAUAAAAAAUGAGCUAUAUCAGAUUUAAUGCAUCAAACCAAACGGAAACGGAAAUAAACAAACGCAAUCUGUCCCAUUACAAGGGCCAAUAAAGCACUACCAAAAAUUCGAGAUGCCAAAAAUUUGAUAGUAACAAUCGGAUCCAAACACAUGUGUCACAGAGAAAAAUAGAGGGAGAUGCAAAGCUAACCAACUCCUUGCUUCUUAGCUUUACCAUUUGAAAUGGUUGGCAAUUUUUUGCAGAAUACUCAAAUUGGCGUGGAAUUUCAUUUGGCGCAAGAGACAUCAUUUAGGAAAUAAUGAAUGGAAUCAUCAUACUCAAAAUAUAGCAAUGUUAAAACCAUAGUGUCUUUAUGUCCAACAGUACGUUUGCAAAUUUAGAAUACAAUUAAGACACUCCAAUGAAUGCAACCCAAUUAUAAAUAAUCAAGUUAUUUACAAAGUCAUUGUGGCCACAAUUUGGGUAAUCAUCACAGUGCUACUCAUAUUGCCAAAGAAUCUCCCAAACUUUACUGCCGACAUCGAAUUAAUAUGAUAACUUCCAAUAAAAUUUUUAGACGUUCAUACAUGAUGGUUCUCAAACUUGACUGAAGCUAGUUGGAUUUUAUUUAGAAUUAGUCCAAACCAUUAUAUUCACAUUAGGCAACAAACUAUAUUUGAGCACUCCACCUUACUUCAGUGAACAAACAAAAUUCCACUAAUAUAUUCAAAUACUCAAAGUAAAGAAAAAUCUUCCAACAACAACAUAAUAUAGGUAAAUAAAGCGACACUCAUAUAUACAUGCCAAAACAAAUAUAAGUACGGACAGAUAGGAAAUCAAACAACAGUCAUGAUUUAGGAAUAGAAAAGUUCAUCAACCAGCUAGUUCAAUCAAAACAAUAGGAAAUCAAAGUGAUAAAUGGCACCUUUUAAAGAAAUUCGGAUGAAGCCUUUUCCAUUGUUUGAUUCAAUACAAAAUUAAUUCCCAAGUGAAAGCUUCAAAAUAGAGCUUGAAAUAAGCCACAACUGCCGAAUAAUUGAGCGAUGACACCCAGCAAUCUCGGAAGUAACACAGUCCCGCAGAAACAGUAGCAAUUUCCUUUACAAAACCGAAUUUUGGAAGCUCAUUUCCUUCUCAGAUCUGUUUUGUAAGAUUCAAAGAAGCAAUAGAAAACCAUUUUUCAGUUGUUUCGUGUGUGCCGAUGGGGAGAUGAGGAGGAUGAAAGCGAGAUGAGAGAAUCAAGGAGAGGGUAUCACGGCUAGUUGGUGUUUUUCGCAAACAAAGCUGAAGAAGACGACUUAGGGUGUGCCGUUUCUUUAGGGGUUGGAUCUGAUGGAUUUUGUCACUCUCCUUUUUUGUUUUUCUAAUUAUGUUUUAUAUGUAUGUAGGGGUAGGGUAAAGGGUAAUGGGUAUUUGGGU
This 12671-nucleotide long non-coding RNA is filed under the name Nicotiana tabacum (common tobacco). Its description in RNAcentral is "long non-coding RNA (NTAB_LNC002331)". Lineage: Eukaryota; Viridiplantae; Streptophyta; Magnoliopsida; Solanales; Solanaceae. The record is from RNAcentral.